Molecule: long non-coding RNA, 465 nt
Organism: Raphanus sativus (radish)
Lineage: Eukaryota; Viridiplantae; Streptophyta; Magnoliopsida; Brassicales; Brassicaceae
Exons: 3
Source: RefSeq, a predicted model, not a curated record
GGAUUGUCGUGGACCUUGGUUUCCACUCGUCCUCAUAUUUUCAUUAUCUUUAUAAAACCAUGGAUAAUACUCGUCUUCUUGAAUUAAAACCACAACACUCUCUCAUAUUCGUCAUCCUUAUUUCCGCACUUAUCACUGAGUCAGAAUGAAUCAAUCUUCAGCCGUAGUGGAAGAACCUUCACAGGGGCUGUACACAAGUCCGCCGCCGGUUGUUUAUCCGACCAGAGAUGCGGCUGGUGGUGAUCCUUUGGUAGCCCCAGAGGAGACUAAGUCCAAAAACUGUUGGAGAAAAUGUUUUGACACGUUAUGCUGUUUUUUCGAUAUCGUGCAAGUAUGCAUCUGGUGACGAGACUUCGGAGUUAGCGAUUCCAUGAAAAUUACCAGUGUAUUAUAUAUAUAUAUAUGUUUUGUGUAGACUUUCAUUUCAUUAUCUUAAACUUCAAACAUAUAGUAGUAUUCAUCCUC